This 72-nucleotide transfer RNA is filed under the name Bos taurus (domestic cattle). It matches the Rfam family "tRNA". From Rfam's summary of the family: Transfer RNA (tRNA) molecules are approximately 80 nucleotides in length. Their secondary structure includes four short double-helical elements and three loops (D, anti-codon, and T loops). RNAcentral also lists the same sequence under 2 other names. Lineage: Eukaryota; Metazoa; Chordata; Mammalia; Artiodactyla; Bovidae. The record is from Rfam by way of RNAcentral.
UUCCUGCUGGCUUAGACAGUAAAGAAUCUGCCUGUGAUGCAGGAGAUCUAGGUUUGAUCCUUGGGUGGGGAA